This 500-nucleotide ribosomal RNA is filed under the name uncultured bacterium. RNAcentral describes it as "bacterial SSU rRNA". It matches the Rfam family "Bacterial small subunit ribosomal RNA", at positions 46 to 518 of the family's 1533-position model. The record is from RNAcentral.
ACAUAAGACAAUGCAAGUCGAACGGAAGCGUUACGACGGAAGUGGAUUGAAGAUUAUCAGAUUGAAGCAGAAGAUGUAACAAUGGCUUAGUGGCGGACUGGUGAGUAACACGUAAGUAACCUGGCUAUUAGAGGGGAAUAACAGUGAGAAAUCAUUGCUAAUACCGUCAUAAGCUUGUAGUAUCGCAUGAUACAAGCAAGAAAAGGAGUAAUCCGCUAAUAGAUGGGCUUGCGGCUGAUUAGCUAGUUGGUUAGGUAACGGCUGACCAAGGCGACGAUCAGUAGCCGGGCUGAGAGGCUCAUCGGCCACAUUGGGACUGAGAUACGGCCCAGACUCCUACGGGAGGCAGCAGUCGGGAAUAUUGCGCAAUGGAGGAAACUCCUGACGCAGUGACGCCGCGUAUAGGAAGAAGGUUUUCGGAUUGUAAACUAUUUUAGACAGGGAAGAUAAAAGACUGUACCUGUAGAAUAAGCUCCGGCUAACUACGUGCCAGCCGCGGC